GAAGAUGUUUUCUAGGGUUCCGCAAACGAUUUUGGUUGGCCUGGUCCGAGAGAAGACACACAGCUUUGCUGUGCCACGGAGGGACAAAAGCCCGGGAGAU
This 100-nucleotide small RNA is filed under the name Bacillus sp. (in: firmicutes). RNAcentral's name for it is "Bacillus sp. Guanidine-I sequence". It matches the Rfam family "Guanidine-I riboswitch aptamer". Rfam says of the family: This family represents a conserved RNA structure found upstream of the ykkC and yxkD genes in Bacillus subtilis and related genes in other bacteria. The function of this family is unclear although it has been suggested that it may function to switch on efflux pumps and detoxification systems in response to harmful environmental molecules. Lineage: Bacteria; Bacillati; Bacillota; Bacilli; Caryophanales; Bacillaceae. RNAcentral also lists the same sequence under 1 other name. The record is from RNAcentral.